Molecule: transfer RNA, 56 nt
Filed under: Escherichia coli
Lineage: Bacteria; Pseudomonadati; Pseudomonadota; Gammaproteobacteria; Enterobacterales; Enterobacteriaceae
Description: tRNA-Asn
Rfam family: tRNA
About the family: Transfer RNA (tRNA) molecules are approximately 80 nucleotides in length. Their secondary structure includes four short double-helical elements and three loops (D, anti-codon, and T loops).
Source: RNAcentral
UCCUCUGUAGUUCAGUCGGUAGAACGGCGGACUGUUAAUCCGUAUGUCACUGGUUC